This 253-nucleotide ribosomal RNA is filed under the name uncultured bacterium. RNAcentral's name for it is "partial 16S ribosomal RNA". It matches the Rfam family "Bacterial small subunit ribosomal RNA", at positions 524 to 776 of the family's 1533-position model. The record is from RNAcentral.
UACGGAGGGUGCGAGCGUUGUCCGGAUUUAUUGGGUUUAAAGGGUGCGUAGGCGGCUUAGUAAGUCCGUGGUGAAAGCCUCUAGCUCAACUAGAGAACUGCCAUGGAUACUGCUAGGCUUGAGUACAGACGAGGUAGGCGGAAUGGAUGGUGUAGCGGUGAAAUGCAUAGAUACCAUCCAGAACACCGAUUGCGAAGGCAGCUUACUAGGCUGUAACUGACGCUGAGGCACGAAAGCGUGGGGAGCGAACAGG